AACGAACGCUGGCGGCAUGCUUAACACAUGCAAGUCGAACGAGACGUCCGGGUUUAGGGGCGCACGGGUGCGUAACGCGUGGGAACCUGCCCUUGGGUUCGGAAUAACUCCCUGAAAGGGGUGCUAAUACCGGUGAAUGUCAUCGGACCAAAGAUCUAUCGCCUUUGGAUGGGCCCGUGUUGGUUUGGGUAGUUGGUAGGGUACAAGCCUACCAAGGCGACGAUCCAGAGCUGGUCUGAGAGGAUGCUCAGCCACACUGGGACUGAGACCCGGCCCAGACUGGGACGGGAGGCAGCAGUGGGUAGUAUUAGGCGAGGAGCGAAAGCCUGAUCCAGCAAUGCCGGGUGAGAGGUGAAUGGCUUAGGAUUGUAAAUCUCUCUUUCCCGAGAUGAGAGUGACAGUACCGGGUAAAGAAGCACCGGCUAACUCCGUG
Molecule: ribosomal RNA, 433 nt
Filed under: uncultured bacterium
Lineage: Bacteria
Description: partial 16S ribosomal RNA
Rfam family: Bacterial small subunit ribosomal RNA
Source: RNAcentral